GGGAUUCGAACGGCAGGCGGGAAGUGCUCUAGCAGGGGAGUCUGACCUUGUGAGGGAAUACCUGUGUCCCCCCUUUUUUCCCCUUUUUACCCAAUAAAACCCUGCCUUACUCACCCUUUAAAUCAUCUGCGAGCCUGAAUUUUCAUGGCCGUGGGACGGACAAGAACUUUAUCUUCAGCUGAACUAAGAAAAAGUCCUGCAACAUUUUUGGCGCGCAAUGUGGGGGCACCAGAAGCGGGCACCGUUGAGCUGUUGCAACUGUUCUGCUGCAAAAACUUUACACCAGAUCUGUCUACUUCUCUUCACCUCCACUGAUGACCAAUUCAGCCAUCAUCACUCAUCUCUCAGCUGGGCAACUUCAAGACCAUUUCAACCGGUCUCCAGAUUUCUAAUCUUGACAACCUACCAGCCAUUCACCAUAGCAGCAGUUACUUAGAAACAUGUAACUUCCCUGCCUGAACCUUACCAAUGACUUCUUAUUUCCCAUAGAAUAAAAUCCAAUGCCAUAUUUUGCGCA
Long non-coding RNA from Homo sapiens (human), 517 nucleotides. Ensembl annotates it as MIR924 host gene. Its record names the gene MIR924HG. Lineage: Eukaryota; Metazoa; Chordata; Mammalia; Primates; Hominidae. The record is from Ensembl.